RNAcentral lists this ribosomal RNA (508 nucleotides) under uncultured bacterium. RNAcentral describes it as "partial 16S ribosomal RNA". It matches the Rfam family "Bacterial small subunit ribosomal RNA", at positions 28 to 523 of the family's 1533-position model. The record is from RNAcentral.
GAUGAACGCUAGCUACAGGCUUAACACAUGCAAGUCGAGGGGAAACGAUAUUGGAAGCUUGCUUCCGAUAGGCGUCGACCGGCGCACGGGUGAGUAACGCGUAUCCAACCUGCCCAUCACUUGGGGAUAACCUUGCGAAAGUAAGACUAAUACCCAAUGAUAUCUCUAGAAGACAUCUGAAGGAGAUUAAAGAUUUAUCGGUGAUGGAUGGGGAUGCGUCUGAUUAGCUUGUCGGGGGGGUAACGGCCCACCAAGGCGACGAUCAGUGGGGGUUCUGAGAGGAAGGUCCCCCACAUUGGAACUGAGACACGGUCCAAACUCCUACGGGAGGCAGCAGUGAGGAAUAUUGGUCAAUGGGCGAGAGCCUGAACCAGCAAAGUAGCGUGCAGGAUGACGGCCCUAUGGGUUGUAAACUGCUUUUAUAAGGGAAUAAAGUGAGUCUCGUGAGACUUUUUGCAUGUACCUUAUGAAUAAGGACCGGCUAAUUCCGUGCCAGCAGCAGCCGCGG